Molecule: ribosomal RNA, 497 nt
Filed under: uncultured bacterium
Lineage: Bacteria
Description: partial 16S ribosomal RNA
Rfam family: Bacterial small subunit ribosomal RNA
Source: RNAcentral
GAUGAACGCUGGCGGCGUGCCUAAUACAUGCAAGUCGAGCGAACAGACGAGGAGCUUGCUCCUCUGACGUUAGCGGCGGACGGGUGAGUAACACGUGGAUAACCUACCUAUAAGACUGGGAUAACUUCGGGAAACCGGAGCUAAUACCGGAUAAUAUAUUGAACCGCAUGGUUCAAUAGUGAAAGACGGUUUUGCUGUCACUGAUAGAUGGAUCCGCGCCGCAUUAGCUAGUUGGUAAGGUAACGGCUUACCAAGGCAACGAUGCGUAGCCGACCUGAGAGGGUGAUCGGCCACACUGGAACUGAGACACGGUCCAGACUCCUACGGGAGGCAGCAGUAGGGAAUCUUCCGCAAUGGACGAAAGCCUGACGGAGCAACGCCGCGUGAGUGAUGAAGGUCUUCGGAUCGUAAAACUCUGUUAUUAGGGAAGAACAAAUGUGUAAGUAACUAUGCACGUCUUGACGGUACCUAAUCAGAAAGCCACGGCUAACUACGUG